GCCCCAGUGGCGAAAUGGUAGACGCGGCAGACUCAAAAUCUGUUGCCGGCAACGGCGUGCUGGUUCGAGUCCGGCCUGGGGCACCA
This 86-nucleotide transfer RNA is filed under the name Azospirillum sp. TSO22-1. Its description in RNAcentral is "tRNA-Leu". It matches the Rfam family "tRNA". Rfam says of the family: Transfer RNA (tRNA) molecules are approximately 80 nucleotides in length. Their secondary structure includes four short double-helical elements and three loops (D, anti-codon, and T loops). The record is from RNAcentral. Lineage: Bacteria; Pseudomonadati; Pseudomonadota; Alphaproteobacteria; Rhodospirillales; Azospirillaceae.